GGGCCUGGGGCCCCCUCCCUUUCUUCUCUUAACAGAACUCCAGGGUCCCAGGCAGACUUUCUGCUGACCCGUCUGUCACCCCACUGCUUCAUUUAGCAUCAGGAAUCUGGAAGACGACUCUCCUUCUUUUGCUCAGAUGUGGAGAAUUGAAAAAGGAAAAACAGACGUUUGGCCCAAAACUGCUCCAAAGAUGCAAACAGCCUAAUUCCUGCUGCUCUUGUGGACAGCGAUGGGGAGAGUGACAACUCAGACCCUGUUCCUGUACCCAGUUUCCAACACUCUUCAGCCAAGCCAUUGAAGCAGCCAUCACGAAGCAGACCCAGCAGCUACUUCCGACCGCCUCUCUGAAGAAAAAGGAGAGGAAAGAAA
This 369-nucleotide long non-coding RNA is filed under the name Homo sapiens (human). RNAcentral describes it as "non-protein coding lnc-SUMF1-13:1". Lineage: Eukaryota; Metazoa; Chordata; Mammalia; Primates; Hominidae. The record is from RNAcentral.